ACGAAGGUGGCAAGCGUUGUUCGGAUUUACUGGGCGUACAGGGAGCGUAGGCGGUUGGAUAAGCCCUCCGUGAAAUCUCCAGGCUUAACCUGGAAAGUGCAGAGGGGACUGUUCAGCUAGAGGAUGGGAGAGGAGCGCGGAAUUCCCGGUGUAGCGGUGAAAUGCGUAGAGAUCGGGAGGAAGGCCGGUGGCGAAGGCGGCUACCUGGACAGUGACUGACGCUGAGGCGCGAAAGCUAGGGGAGCGAACGGGA
RNAcentral lists this ribosomal RNA (253 nucleotides) under uncultured prokaryote. RNAcentral's name for it is "partial 16S ribosomal RNA". It matches the Rfam family "Bacterial small subunit ribosomal RNA", at positions 525 to 777 of the family's 1533-position model. The record is from RNAcentral.